RNAcentral lists this ribosomal RNA (643 nucleotides) under uncultured bacterium. Its description in RNAcentral is "bacterial SSU rRNA". It matches the Rfam family "Bacterial small subunit ribosomal RNA", at positions 386 to 1044 of the family's 1533-position model. The record is from RNAcentral.
ACGGUUCACGCCGCGUGAGGGAUGAAGGCCUCUGGGCUGUAAACCUCUUUUAUCAAGGAAGAAGAUCUGACGGUACUUGAUGAAUAAGCCACGGCUAAUUCCGUGCCAGCAGCCGCGGUAAUACGGGAGUGGCAAGCGUUAUCCGGAAUUAUUGGGCGUAAAGCGUCCGCAGGCGGUCUUUUAAGUCUGUCGUCAAAGCGUGGAGCUUAACUCCAUUUCUGCGAUGGAAACUGGAAGACUAGAGUGUGGUAGGGGCAGAGGGAAUUCCCGGUGUAGCGGUGAAAUGCGUAGAUAUCGGGAAGAACACCAGUGGCGAAGGCGCUCUGCUGGGCCAUAACUGACGCUCAUGGACGAAAGCCAGGGGAGCGAAAGGGAUUAGAUACCCCUGUAGUCCUGGCCGUAAACGAUGAACACUAGGUGUCGGGGGAAUCGACCCCCUCGGUGUCGUAGCCAACGCGUUAAGUGUUCCGCCUGGGGAGUACGCACGCAAGUGUGAAACUCAAAGGAAUUGACGGGGGCCCGCACAAGCGGUGGAGUAUGUGGUUUAAUUCGAUGCAACGCGAAGAACCUUACCAGGGUUUGACAUCCUGCGAAUCUCUUGGAAACGAGAGAGUGCCUUCGGGAACGCAGUGACAGGUGGUGC